GCUUGGGUGGUUUAGUGGUAAAAUUCUCGCUUGCCAUGAGCGAGUCAAUCGCGACGGUUGCGGGAGCCCGGGGUUCGAUUCCCCGUCCAAGCA
RNAcentral lists this transfer RNA (93 nucleotides) under Tilletiopsis washingtonensis. It matches the Rfam family "tRNA". From Rfam's summary of the family: Transfer RNA (tRNA) molecules are approximately 80 nucleotides in length. Lineage: Eukaryota; Fungi; Basidiomycota; Exobasidiomycetes; Entylomatales. The record is from Rfam by way of RNAcentral.